This 305-nucleotide ribosomal RNA is filed under the name uncultured bacterium. Its description in RNAcentral is "bacterial SSU rRNA". It matches the Rfam family "Bacterial small subunit ribosomal RNA", at positions 335 to 657 of the family's 1533-position model. The record is from RNAcentral.
UUUCCUACGGGAGGCAGCAGUGGGGAAUAUUGCACAAUGGGGGAAACCCUGAUGCAGCAACGCCGCGCGAGUGAAGAAGUCAUUCGUGAUGUAAAGCUCUAUCAGCAGGGAAGAAAAUGACGGUACCUGACUAAGAAGCCCCGGCUAACUACGUGCCAGCAGCCGCGGUAAUACGUAGGGGGCAAGCGUUAUCCGGAUUUACUGGGUGUAAAGGGAGCGUAGACGGCAGUGCAAGUCUGAAGUGAAAGGCAAGGGCUCAACCCUUGGACUGCUUUGGAAACUGUGCUGAUCGAGUGUGGGAGAGG